CCUACGGGUGGCUGCAGUGAGGAAUAUUGGUCAAUGGGCGCGAGCCUGAACCAGCCAAGUCGCGUGAGGGAAGACGGCCCUACGGGUUGUAAACCUCUUUUGCCGGGGAGCAACGGGCGCCACGUGUGGCGCCACUGAGAGUACCCGGAGAAAAAGCAUCGGCUAACUCCGUGCCAGCAGCCGCGGUAAUACGGAGGAUGCGAGCGUUAUCCGGAUUUAUUGGGUUUAAAGGGUGCGUAGGCGGAUUGAUAAGUUAGAGGUGAAAUGUCCGAGCUUAACUCGGGAACUGCCUCUAAUACUGUUGAUCUAGAGAGUAGAUGCGGUAGGCGGAAUGUAUGGUGUAGCGGUGAAAUGCUUAGAGAUCAUACAGAACACCGAUUGCGAAGGCAGCUUACCAAUCUAUAUCUGACGUUGAGGCACGAAAGCGUGGGGAGCAAACAGGAUUAGAUACCCCUGUAGUC
Molecule: ribosomal RNA, 461 nt
Filed under: uncultured bacterium
Lineage: Bacteria
Description: partial 16S ribosomal RNA
Rfam family: Bacterial small subunit ribosomal RNA
Source: RNAcentral